GAUAAACGCUGGCGGCAUGCCUAAUACAUGCAAGUCGAACGCUCUCGAUCUUCGGAUCAAUGAGGGAGUGGCGAACGGGUGAGUAACACGUAAGAAAUCUGCCCUAAAGACGAGGAUAACUAUUGGAAACGAUAGCUAAUACUGGAUAGGCCAUAAAAUCGCAUGAUUUAAUGGUUAAAGGUCCGUUUGGACCACUUUAGGAUGAUCUUGCGCUGUAUUAGCUAGUUGGUAAGGUAACGGCUUACCAAGGCGACGAUACAUAGCUGGACUGAGAGGUUGAACAGCCACACUGGGACUGAGACACGGCCCAG
RNAcentral lists this ribosomal RNA (311 nucleotides) under uncultured bacterium. RNAcentral describes it as "bacterial SSU rRNA". It matches the Rfam family "Bacterial small subunit ribosomal RNA", at positions 28 to 334 of the family's 1533-position model. The record is from RNAcentral.